This 253-nucleotide ribosomal RNA is filed under the name uncultured bacterium. RNAcentral describes it as "partial 16S ribosomal RNA". It matches the Rfam family "Bacterial small subunit ribosomal RNA", at positions 524 to 776 of the family's 1533-position model. The record is from RNAcentral.
CACGUAGGGCGCAAGCGUUGUCCGGAAUUAUUGGGCGUAAAGAGCUCGUAGGCGGUCUGUUGCGUCCGCUGUGAAAACUCGGGGCUUAACCCCGAGCCUGCAGUGGAUACGGGCAGACUAGAGGUAGGUAGGGGAGAAUGGAAUUCCCGGUGUAGCGGUGAAAUGCGCAGAUAUCGGGAGGAACACCGGUGGCGAAGGCGGUUCUCUGGGCCGACACUGACACUGAGAGACGAAAGCUAGGGGAGCGAAUGGG